This 1083-nucleotide long non-coding RNA is filed under the name Solanum tuberosum (potato). Its description in RNAcentral is "long non-coding RNA (STUB_LNC008064)". The record is from RNAcentral. Lineage: Eukaryota; Viridiplantae; Streptophyta; Magnoliopsida; Solanales; Solanaceae.
CCGCUGAGAAGGAAACUACAACCUAGGUACCUCAAAAUAAUCACACAGUUCUACUUAAUAUUAUUUAUAGCAAGGAUCUACAGAUUGCUUACUAAUGUCAUCAUAAAUUUGUGUUUUCUCCUGCCAUAAGGAUAUUUCUUUUCUCUAUAUAUGAAUUUUAGCUAGUGACCCCGUUCAAUGACUUAUAAUUCUAUUUGGUUAAGAGAUGUGUGAGAAGUGUAUGAAAUAUUUCCCCAUAUAUACACUGAUACUUUUCUUAUGGCAACAUUGAAAGAGGGAGAAGCUGCUGCAAAAGCUAAGGAAUCUAAGAAGAGCAAUCAUGUAUUUCUAUUUGUCCAUCAAUAGAAAUUUAUACUAUGUAUUUAUCUAUGUAUUAUUGAUUCUUAUAUCUAUGUAUUUAUUUUCUCAUAAUUUAUGUCACAGAGUUGGACCGAUAAGCUUGAACCCCAAGAAAAGAGAGCAACAUUUAGAUAACAAGGAAAAAAUAUAAAAGGCGGGCGGAAAGAGAUAACGAGUAGAACUGGACACAAUUCAGACACAAACAAUUAGCACACAAAGGUAUGACUUGAUGAGACUCUAAUUUUACAAUCAGAGCGCGAGUAAAUGGAUAAGUCAAGCAAGCAGAUUUGGUACCUUCACCGUGUAUCCAUUCUCAAGAACCUUCAACUGAUCAAGAUCUUCUCCGAGUUACAGGGGUCUUGGUUCUGAUUCUGAUAUGUUUUCAGAAACUUAUAAUCAUAGCUCUAGAUAUGAAAUAAGUGAAAGACAAUUGCUCAGUCAUACAAUAUAUGAAUGGAAAAUUGUAUUGAAAAUAUUACACAAAUAUAUUUCUUUCUUCAGUGGCUUCUCCAUAUCUGAGAUUUAAGACUUGUGAGUAGCUGAAAGAUUUAGGCUAUUAUGUAUCUGAGAUGUGGAAAAAUAGGUGGAAUUCUUGUAACCUGUACCCAAAGAGAGCUCCAGGGAAUUCUUCUACCAAGAAUUUCAUCCCUGUAAGAAAAGCUACCGCCUAAAAUAGAAGCAAUCAUACAGUUAUACUAGUCUGGCAUACUAUUGAAAGAAAAAAAAAGAGCAAAAUGUCUAAAC